UACGAAGGGGGCUAGCGUUGCUCGGAAUUACUGGGCGUAAAGGGCGCGUAGGCGGCGCGGUUAGUCAGGCGUGAAACUCCUGGGCUCAACCCAGGAACUGCGUUUGAUACGGCCGCGCUCGAGGAUGGAAGAGGGCCGCGGAAUUCCCAGUGUAGAGGUGAAAUUCGUAGAUAUUGGGAAGAACACCGGUGGCGAAGGCGGCGGCCUGGUCCAUUACUGACGCUGAGGCGCGACAGCGUGGGGAGCAAACAGG
Molecule: ribosomal RNA, 253 nt
Filed under: uncultured bacterium
Lineage: Bacteria
Description: partial 16S ribosomal RNA
Rfam family: Bacterial small subunit ribosomal RNA
Source: RNAcentral